GGCGGCCGUAACUAUAACGGUCCUAAGGUAGCGAAAUUCCUUGUCGGGUAAGUUCCGACCCGCACGAAAGGCGUAACGAUUUGGGCACUGUCUCAACGAGAGACUCGGUGAAAUCAUAGUACCUGUGAAGAUGCAGGUUACCCGCGACAGGACGGAAAGACCCCGUGGAGCUUUACUGUAGCCUGAUAUUGAAAUUCGGCACAGCUUGUACAGGAUAGGUAGGAGCCUUUGAAACGUGAGCGCUAGCUUACGUGGAGGCGCUGGUGGGAUACUACCCUAGCUGUGUUGGCUUUCUAACCCGCACCACUUAUCGUGGUGGGAGACAGUGUCAGGCGGGCAGUUUGACUGGGGCGGUCGCCUCCUAAAAGGUAACGGAGGCGCUCAAAGGUUCCCUCAGAAUGGUUGGAAAUCAUUCAUAGAGUGUAAAGGCAUAAGGGAGCUUGACUGCGAGACCUACAAGUCGAGCAGGGUCGAAAGACGGACUUAGUGAUCCGGUGGUUCCGCAUGGAAGGGCCAUCGCUCAACGGAUAAAAGCUACCCCGGGGAUAACAGGCUUAUCUCCCCCAAGAGUUCACAUCGACGGGGAGGUUUGGCACCUCGAUGUCGGCUCAUCGCAUCCUGGGGCUGUAGUCGGUCCCAAGGGUUGGGCUGUUCGCCCAUUAAAGCGGUACGCGAGCUGGGUUCAGAACGUCGUGAGACAGUUCGGUCCCUAUCCGUCGUGGGCGUAGGAAAUUUGAGAGGAGCUGUCCUUAGUACGAGAGGACCGGGAUGGACAUACCUCUGGUGUACCAGUUGUCGUGCCAACGGCAUAGCUGGGUAGCUAUGUGUGGACGGGAUAAGUGCUGAAAGCAUCUAAGCAUGAAGCCCCCCUCAAGAUGAGAUUUCCCAACUUCGGUUAUAAGAUCCCUCAAAGAUGAUGAGGUUAAUAGGU
RNAcentral lists this ribosomal RNA (931 nucleotides) under Staphylococcus aureus. RNAcentral describes it as "partial 23S ribosomal RNA". It matches the Rfam family "Bacterial large subunit ribosomal RNA", at positions 1929 to 2861 of the family's 2925-position model. Lineage: Bacteria; Bacillati; Bacillota; Bacilli; Caryophanales; Staphylococcaceae. The record is from RNAcentral.